GAACAGCGUCGUUUCUGGAUGGCUUCAGACAGGCCGGACUGACUGUUUGGAAGAGAAAAACCUGCUUAUUCUUUCAAAGGUACAUGAAUGUUGUCCACACCUUCCCGUCUAAAGGUUAGAAUCUUGCCUUAGACAAAGGAUGCUCUUGGAGUCCCACCACACCUAAAACCACGCUUUGAAGGAUCUGCCAAGCUCACUUUUAAUCAUGAGAAAGAAAUUACCCACAUGGAGACAGCAGAAAAUGAGAAAGGAGAGAUCGUGCUGCGAAUAAUUCCAGCGAGUGCCAAGGGGCUAGUUGAGGAAUGGCUUCAUGAGAUGUUAGUCUAUCUAGAACAACACAUUUGGAUCUAAGCUGGACCUUUGAGAAAGAAAAGACUUCGAGGAAAGACACCUUUACAUAUGGUUUAAUUACCUUUUACCUCAAUUGUUUAAUACAAACUAUCCAACUAUAUCCAUCUUUUCUGCUUCUUGUAUAUUUCUUCUUUUGCUUGAACUGUUUCAGUAUUGACUAUUGAAUUACAUAGUCAUUCUGGAUUUUUAAAAAGAGAAUUCUAAUAAAACUUAUAUAUGUUGCU
RNAcentral lists this long non-coding RNA (575 nucleotides) under Rattus norvegicus (Norway rat). RNAcentral describes it as "long non-coding RNA NONRATT026676". The stretch from base 124 to 316 matches the Rfam family "Rhabdomyosarcoma 2 associated transcript conserved region 9". Lineage: Eukaryota; Metazoa; Chordata; Mammalia; Rodentia; Muridae. The record is from RNAcentral.